UGAUAUGGUGGUUGGUUAUGGGGGGGGGGGGGGGGGGGAAGAGAGGGGGGGGGAUAAGGGGGGAGGAGGGAAAUGUCACCCGAGGUGGGUGAGGGACGGGACGGACAGACAGGCGGACAGCACGGAGAGACGGAGCGGCCCGCCGGCUUGUCAAGGCUCGCUGGAAAAGGAUGGAAAAAUAAUAAAAAAGCAGAGCUCCCCCCCAUAAGACGCACACACAGCCCGGACCCGCACGCUGUUGUUGUUGCCGCUGCCGCCGCGGCUCGGGGAGGAUUUUCGAAAGUGCCUGACGCGAGCUGAGGAGCUGCUGCCUUCCCUCCCCACCGGCUCUGCAAAGCUUCCCCUCACGGAUCCUGGUCCUGCACAGCCCAGCUGGACUCCUCGCAGCCGAGUGUCAGCAGGCCCGAGCUUCCCCGGGAGCCCACCGCCCGCUUCCAGAGCUGCAUCCACCAAAAUAAUCCACGAAAAUAUCAGCAGAUUCCGUAGGGAGAGCCAAUCUCUCUCUCUCUCUCUCUCUCUCUCUCUCUCUUCCCCCUCUUUUUUUUUUUUUUUUUAACCAACUGACACAGUUGGAGAGAACAGCAAGCUUUUGGGCUCACAGAGCUUAGACCAUCAUGGCUACGAAAACUGUGCUGCUAGUCAGAAAAAAAACAAAACAAAACAAAACACAAAAACACGUAAUUCUGGAGCUCCUUAGUGAAAAAGCAGUGCAAAACAACGUCGGAGCAGUUGCAAAGUGAUCUUCUCUGCAGCACCCACAAACUUCAGCCUUGAACUGAAGAGGACUCAUCAAAUGCCUUGGGAGAUACAGAAAGAAACUGGAAGAGAAGCAGGGGUCUACAUGAAGGGCAGUCCACUGGAGUCUUGGUGUGUGGAGGAACGGGUCCCGUUCUGGCUGUUGUUACUCCCACAUAGGUGGACUCUGUAACUGAUUAUGUGUGGGUAGGGCCCUAAUUGAAAUUAAGGAGAUUCUGCAGUAGUGCAGGGUUCUGUUUGUGAAAGUUGAGUUGCAAGAUCAGGACCCUACUGUGACUUCUUACUGUGAAUUCUGUCACUGUAUCAUUGCUUGUGCUGGAACCUGCCUUUUGGGAUAAUGUAAGUCCUGCUUUUCCCCCAAAUGUACUUUAGACAUGAAAUAAUCAUAAAAACGUUCCUAAUUAGAAAAUAAAUAUCAUUUACAUGCGUUCUUUUAAUUAUGUUUUUUUGGCAGUACCAAAUAAUAUAUUCCUCAAAACUUCUUAAUGGCACUGAGGCUUUGUGGAUAGUUGGUCACAUGAUGAGAAAAUUCAGCUAUCAUGGGCAAGGAGAAAACCCUUUACCUAUCCACGCGAGCAAUGCUAUUACCCUGCUUACACUCCUUAAUUGUCUGGACGGGAAGCUUGGCUUCUGGUUCAACCACAUGCUCUUCAGGUUUUGCAGCUCUGAUAGUAUGGUUUUUAUGACUAGUGUCAAACGUGAAGCUUUCAAAGCCACGUGCCAAAGGCGGCCGGAGCGGUGAAAGCUGUCCCCCCCCUCUCCAGGCUGCAGCCACCGGGUGCCUCUCCAGCUGCUGCUGCGGGCUGUCAUCUAUUUUUAAAAUGUGGCCACUUAAAAGAAUGUUUUUGUCUUAAGAGCAGGUAGCAGAACUUGAAGAAAGAAGAGUAGUUACCUUCAUUGCUGCAAUUCUUCGACGUGCUCUUUGUACACCUCCCACUGCUGGCCCCUCGGUUCCCCAGGUGAUGUGGACUGCGGGCUGCUGAAGAGCUGGGCGGUGAUCUGUUUGCACGCUGGAGGGAGGAAAAGCAGAGGGGAAUUUUUGUGGUUCUGGAUCUGCACUGUGUUUGGGGUCAAACUCCAGCCUAGCACUACCCAUUCCUAAGGAGUAUCAGAAGGAAAGAGUGCUACAGAGCAGGGAGGUUGCCCCAGUUUCAAACCCGUGCCUUUCAGACCUCUUCGGGUCAGUAUUAUAUGGGAGAACUGGAGGAACCAGGAUGUGAAGUUGUCUGCUCAGAGCUAUAUCAGAGGCCAGCGACAAAUCCAGGAAUAGAAGCCAAGCCUCCUAAGUUGCAGCCUAAUACACUAAUCAGUGAGGAAUCUUGCCUUCUUAUACUGCAAUGAGAUAAUGCCUCCAGGCCCUAGCCAAGAAAAUGGGGUUUUCCAUCAGGAACGUUGUGGUCUGAUGUUCAAAACCGUCGUGUGUCUGGUAAACGUGAGCAUAAUUCUCCAGUUUUGUGCAUGAUGCAGCAAGCUAAUUUCACUGAAGAAAGUGGUAACUUCAGGAUGAACCCCCAAGGCAUGGCUGCAGUGGCUGCGUGAAACAAGAAACAGAUACCCUUUUUGUGUCACUCCUUUCACUGAUCACCAGGACUCUGAGCCAGGGUGAAGGUGGAGGAAGACUCCUACAGAGAGAGAACCAGGAACGGUUUGUCCCUGUAGAAGGGAGUAAUGACAUUUUUAAAGUUUUUACCAAAUACCAGGACAUGUGAUAAAAUUUUAUGGUUGGGAAUUAAUCAAAAGACCAUGAAAUGGGACAGAAUGCACAUUACAGAAAGCCUUGGAGAGCUGCAACCUAAGCACCCUGAAAUCUGUGACCAAGCCCACAGGACACCUCUUGAGUUAUUGCAGCCACCUCCAAUGACUGCUAUUUUUUUAUAUAAUUUACCAGCCCCAGUAAACUUCCCCAGACAGACUGGGAAAAGAUGUUCUUUCUGUUAAUUUUAGGCCAGAGAAAGACUCCAAAUGUAUUCUGGGUAGUGAAAUAUUUGGCUCAUGGAAUUAGCUGCAGAAAAAAAAAACACCAAACAGUGUAAAUUUGCACCUUGGAGUGGGUACAUGUUUUGAAAAGGAUGGUUCCAAAGAUAAUGUGCUUGUAUCUAAACUCUGUUAUCUGCAACAUACAGAUUUACAGUUUUAUCUGUAUUAAAUAGCACAUCUGUAUGCUGAAACAUGACAUGUAUGAUUAAAAUAAUGACUGUAACUAUAGACCUAUGUAAAUAUUAUCUAGAUCAUAUGUGUAAAUAUUAAAGAAAUUGUUUAAUUUCUAGAGAUUACAGACAACACUUAAAAAUGUUACACAGUCUCCCCCUCACAAGUUUUUUGUAUAAUUACCAGUUAAGAGCUAAUUAAUCUACUCGCUUUUUAAAAUAUUUGCAGUUGUGUUAAAUUUUACUGAGGAGCAAUUUAGUUGUCUUGUUGUUUGAACAGGAAGUCCUCGGGUAUUUGUCCCAAAUACCAAUAUUUUCACUCUGCUGACAGCUGUAUGUUUGUGGUCACCCUUCGGCAAUGUAUGUGAAGAAUGUAUACAGUGGCAGUGCCUCCUCGAGAGAGUACCAGGAGGAAAAUUGUAUGUGGUCAACCCACAUGUAAUUUGUUCUCCUUAGUGGAGGUCUCACAUGUACAGCACUUAAAUGACACUUUUUGUUUCUGGAUAAGAUGAAGGUAACUGAUAGAAACCAUUCAAAAGUCUCUUGGGCUGUUGCUUACGUUCCCUGAAAUGGGCUAAAGAGAACAGCUCUUUGGAGACACAGCUUUACAUUGAACAUAUGCAGGGCUGUGUCAUUAUUAAUUCUGCAAAUGUGUUUACAAUGGUUAGGUAAAAUAUUUAGUUACUAUUUAAAUAUUUUGAUGUAUUAUAGCUCGUACCCGAAUUUCAGAUGUCUACUGCACUUAACAUUUCCAAUUUAAAUAACCGGUUUCAUUAAGGUUUUUAGUGAUACAAAUUAAUAACAAAAGGCAGUUAAUGCAGAGUACGGUUAUGAGACCAACAUACAUGUGGUUUAAAUUUAAAGAAUUAAAUGUUAGCAUUUCCCUAUAGAGAAAGGUUAUUUGGGCAGUGGUGUACUGACAUUAUCACCACCCACGGAGAAGGGGACCUGUUGAUCCUAUUGGUUAAGCAGAAAUUCAAAAACGGAAGAAAUGUCGGUCUAGAGGGUUUGCUCGGUGUGAGUGAAUCACACAGGAAAAAUGCUGAUACCUAGAGUAGCUGCAGUGACCUUCUUUGAUGGUUAGAAAGAGAAAUAAUCACACAGGAUUUUUUGUCAAAGUUGGAGGGUUUAGGUUGCUUGCUGGCUAAAACCGGCCUGGGUUAUUAAUAUAGUGGAAAGUUAAAUGAUGAGCAUGGAAAUAUGAUAAUAAGUGCUGUUGUAAAUGAGACAGAAAUGAUUUUCUGUGGCUGGUAAGAAUGGUAAUCCAAUGUGUUAACCAUUGGGCUGGAGGGCUGCUAAGAAAAUAAAUGUGCAAAGUGGGUAAAAUAAAGGAUAAAAGUAUGUUUAUGUAGGCGUUUCUUCAAAGCUUUCUUCAGUAAGGUGUUUCUGGACACUGCUGUACUGCUUUGGACAAGUCAUGUCUGUUAAAAUAAAAGUAAGCAAACAGCUUUUGUUUUAGCAAUAAAUACUGCUAACUGUACCUCUGGAUUUCUGCCUUUGCGUUUUUAUAAUGAUUUUAGUGGGCCUAGCUAGAAACAAAUUUAUUAGAGAUAGAUAGCAAUUACUAAUUUGGCACUAUUUAAUAUUAGUUUAAUCCGGCAAUGAUGUCUUCACCUAUUAUUCCUGGAAGAAACUGCAUGAAGUUGUGUGGUUUUGGGUAGUUUUGUGUGGAUGUGGGACUGCACAGAGAAGGCAGGUCUCAGCAUCAGUGCAUGUAAGGAAAGCUUGUCUCUGACCCUCAAGCUGACAGCUUGAAAAUGGUCCAGGUUGAAACCCAGGCUGCCAGUACUCUGCACUUUGGCGUUUGAAAAUUUCUGGGCGAGACUUAGUUUCAAUCUGAAAAGUCAAAAUAAAGUGGUUUACACUCAGUUUUGCUUUGUUUGAAGCCAAAACUCAAAGCAAAACUCCUGGUGUAUAGAUCUGUACGUGGCAAAACAUAAGAAAGUGAACCCAAGAGCUCAGCAAACUGAGCAAGCUAGUUUCACUUAGCUCUCAAAAUAAUCCCCAUUUUGCAAGUUCACUUUUCAAUUGCACAUGUGUGAGAUGUCAAAAAUGAGCUGGUUUCGCUACCCCAGGGGUAGUGCAGCUCCAAAGCAUCACUCUGUCAGAGCAAGGUCUCGUGUGCUCGCUCUCUGUUUCAGCUGAUACUUUGGAUGUUUGUCAAGAGAUAAAAGUUUCUCUGUCCCAGGCUGGUUACGUUUAGCUUUUGUUCAUCUGCAAGACAAGGGAUUUGGGGUAAGACCCAAAUCCCAGCCCGUAUUUUUUCAUACCCAGCUCUAAAUCUCUGGUAAUGCUCUAAAUGGCACCCAGUCCUCAGACGGCAGGAGUCACUUACUUCACCUCGGGGAGGUCAUCCAAGGAUUCACGUAUGUUAAGUUCAAGGCCUGAUGUUGCAGAGAUGCUGAACAUCUGCUGCUCUCUCUAGCUAGCAUGGGAGCUGCGGGUACUCAGGCCUUUGUCAACAUCAGAUCCUCAUUCCCCAGGCACUCUUAUUCAAAAGAAAGCAAAGAGCAACCCGCUGGUCUGCUUUAUCUUUUUUGUAAAAAUGUGGUGCAACUGGCUAGAAGCAAACCUGUGAGCUGCACCCAGACAGUGACACUUUUAUCAGAGCAUAGCUGAGUGCUUGGGAGCUCGUUCUGUUCAGGGUUCCUCUGCUUACUCAUCAGCUGAUCCAUUUCUUUCCUUGGUUUCCAAAAAAAUACUGCGAGACUGCCCUCCUUAGCUGCUAAAAUGACCGCUGAUGGAAGGGCGAGGCCUCGGCAGUAGUGAGGCUGAGUCAGCUUCUAGAUGCAGAUCUCAGACUCUGGCAGCUCUGUUAAGAAGGAAGGACUAGAGCGAUGUUCAAAAGAAAUGUAGUAUCAGAUCAUCAGUGAUCUCGUGUGCAUAUAUUUUGCUCAUUCAGGAAGCAGAAGUCAAAUUCUCAUGGCAAGCCAGGACCUAGUAAAAUUCAGAGUGCCGGGGAAAUGGAUGAACUCAAAGAUUUAAGGAUAUCUGGAAAUACAGCUCACAAGCUGGGUUACAUGAGGAUUAUAUUGUGAGUAGAAUUUACAAUACCAUGGCUCACCCCUGCACAGGAGUGAGUUUUGUCAUGUGUGAGCAUACGUUAAAGGAAAAACCAUGGGGCUGCUGGUGGAAAGCAAAUAUUACGUGACUCCGAAUCUCACUUGGUAUUUUAAACCAUAAGAGUUUCGGAUUUGAGUCAUAGUAACUUGUGAGUAAGAUAUAUAUAUAUAUGUAUAGAGAACUUGCAAGCUGUAAGCAAGGCUUCAGCCUUGAGGUUAUUUUCACCUCAAAUUGCACAUUUGGUCCUCUGUUCUUGUAAAUCAUUGUAGCCUCAAUUCAAAUUUAGAAGUCAGGUGAGAUGCCUCCAAACUUUCGGAAGAAAUUGGAUCCAGAAACCUUUAUAUGCUUCUAUUUUCUUCUCUGUUUGGCCACUCUGGUGUCCAGAAGCUCUGGUCCAUCCAACAUGUUACACCUUUCUCACUCCUCUGCUUCUCUGCAUGGCUGACAACAGUCUCUGAACAGAGCUGACAUCAAGAUUCAUCUAACAUCUAAUUUGCCCUUUCAGAGCUUUCAGCGGCAUCAACUCCUUCAGCAGGAGCAGAAACUUUCUUAGCAGUGCUCAGAGAGCACCCUCAACCCAGGAUCUUCACUGGAACACCCCUUUUGUCAGAGCAAGAGCUGGAGAAGAUGGCACAUGAGAGUCAUCUCAUGUGGGGAAAAGUCUCUUUUCUUUUUUUUUUUUUUUUUAAUUCAUCACUUUGACUUAAAACACCUAGAGGAGCUGUGCAAGGAGUUGCUUGUUGAACAGAAGACUGUAAGGACUCGUUUUUAGUAACAAACCCCAGACUAUUAGCCCUGCCAUUUUUUCCACUGCUGGAGGAAAACGUGGACUCUUGCUGAGUUAUACGUAGCCCGAUCCUUCUGUACAGGUCUGAUUACUGGAGAGCUGAAGCAUGCUUUACAAGCAAAAUGGCUGCAUGGGCACACCUAAAGGAACCUGCCUCUUUCCGUAAUUCUUGACCGAUUAAUCAGACUUCCUGGCAGUGGUUAUACGAGGAGGAUGACUGAGAAUUUAGUAGCUGCAGAAAGUCCUCCAGUGUGCAAGCCCAGAAGAUGUGUUUAUGUGUCUGGUCAUCUCUGGAAUGCGUGGCUGCAAAGCGAAAGGCUGGGAAACUCUUCUGGGGUGGGACGGCUGCGCCGGCGGUGACCUGCCAGCCCCGACAGACGCAUUGCUGAUGGUGGAGAAGGAAAUCUGGUGCUGAGGGGCUUUGGCAUGUCCGAGGGAUGCUCCGUGCCACCCCACGAGUAAAAAAGCUCAUCGGGCACUGCCAUGCAUCGGGAGGAGAGGUCCACGGUGCAGCAUCCAGACUGGUGGGACUCUCGUGUGCUUCUUCCGUGGGCUUCGAGGCGAUGGGGUUUUGGGGUCGAGGUGGUCCUUGCAUCUCCUGGAGGUUGCUCGAGCCCUUCAGUGCCUCGCAGCCGGCACCCAGCGUUGUGCAGGACGGGGUUCCCGCCGGCUGAAGAGGAAAAAAUCCCAAUUGCGCAGGGCUUCUGCGUGUGCAAAAGGCCCGCUAGAGAACCGCCGGCGCUAAACUGAUCACACAUGUCCUUCAGCUUAGGAGAAGGGAGCUCUAAGUGAGAGCAUGUGUGCUCCGAGUCCCGGGCUGAGAAAAUGUCAGUCUCAGGCGCUUGGGAAGUUCAUAUUGAUACAAACAGGGAGGCUCCCUGCUGCCCACAGAUUUCCCACAUAAAAGUCCUACUGGUAGCCGUGGGAACUUCGCAGCAGCCACGCUGUGGCUAAAGUCACCGCUCUGAAAAUGCAGUGAAAUUAGUGUUCAUAAAAGUGAAAAACACGCCACAAGAAUGAAGACGUUCUGAUUCACAGCCAUGGAAAUUACAUGAGCUCUGGCAUAGGGAAAAGCUGCGUUUUGCUGUUAUCCUGGCUUCAAAAAGGGAUUGCUGGUGAUUUUUUUAAAAACGCCUCUUUGAGCCUCUUUUUGCCUUUUUGCAAAUGAUUUUUUUUUCCACCAAGACACAAAAAAGCCAAGCUGUGCCCAUUAUGCCCCGUGGAAAGGGCAGAUCCUGCGCUGCACAGUGGCCUCUAGUGAAGCUGAGCAGUUUGCUCCAGAACCUGUGAAAUAAUUUCCAGCAGCUGGUUUGUUGCUAAUUUCAGUUCUGCCUUUCGGUCUGGCCGUCACCUCCCCCAGCCAAUGCCACUCGCUUUGUAUAUUUUUAAGGAAAAACAAAAAAGAAAAACACGGCAGGCUAUGGUGGGGCAGUGGGCUUGUUCUGGUGUGAAUUGAACACGAAGCUGGGACCCAGAGAAAAAGGUAAUGCUAGCAGUAAUGCAGCUCUUAUGGUUUAACAGUAUUACUUAACAUGAUUCGAAGUUCCUUUUUUUGACUUUUUCUGCUGUAAGCAGAGGGGAUGGCGAUGUCGGCUGUGGCUCUUGCUGGUAGACUUCGGAUGUGCUGUCAGGGAGCUGUGGAGGCCCCAUCCCCAAGCCCUGCUCCAGCACAGGGUGCCCAGGGCCCCGUGCAGGCGCCUUGUGCCGCACUGCCAGGAGGAGCCCCCCCAGCCUCUCUGGGCAGCCUGGGCCAGUGCUCAGCCGCCCGCCCAGCACAGAAGUGCUGCCUGGUGCUCAGAGGGAGCCUCCUGCCUGCCCCUUGGUGCCCACUGCCCCUGGCCUGGCGCUGGGCACCCCUGAACAGAGCCUGGCUGCGGCCUCUUUGCCCU
Long non-coding RNA from Anas platyrhynchos (mallard), 8642 nucleotides. RefSeq lists it as uncharacterized. Lineage: Eukaryota; Metazoa; Chordata; Aves; Anseriformes; Anatidae. The record is from RefSeq and is a predicted model, not a curated record.